RNAcentral lists this ribosomal RNA (497 nucleotides) under Vibrio parahaemolyticus. RNAcentral describes it as "bacterial SSU rRNA". It matches the Rfam family "Bacterial small subunit ribosomal RNA", at positions 107 to 600 of the family's 1533-position model. RNAcentral also lists the same sequence under 1 other name. Lineage: Bacteria; Pseudomonadati; Pseudomonadota; Gammaproteobacteria; Vibrionales; Vibrionaceae. The record is from RNAcentral.
UGAGUAAUGCCUAGGAAAUUGCCCUGAUGUGGGGGAUAACCAUUGGAAACGAUGGCUAAUACCGCAUGAUGCCUACGGGCCAAAGAGGGGGACCUUCGGGCCUCUCGCGUCAGGAUAUGCCUAGGUGGGAUUAGCUAGUUGGUGAGGUAAGGGCUCACCAAGGCGACGAUCCCUAGCUGGUCUGAGAGGAUGAUCAGCCACACUGGAACUGAGACACGGUCCAGACUCCUACGGGAGGCAGCAGUGGGGAAUAUUGCACAAUGGGCGCAAGCCUGAUGCAGCCAUGCCGCGUGUGUGAAGAAGGCCUUCGGGUUGUAAAGCACUUUCAGUCGUGAGGAAGGUAGUGUAGUUAAUAGCUGCAUUAUUUGACGUUAGCGACAGAAGAAGCACCGGCUAACUCCGUGCCAGCAGCCGCGGUAAUACGGAGGGUGCGAGCGUUAAUCGGAAUUACUGGGCGUAAAGCGCAUGCAGGUGGUUUGUUAAGUCAGAUGUGAAAG